GCCCGGGUGGUGGAAUGGUAUACACGACGGUCUCAAAAACCGUUGGUCGCAAGAUCUUGUGGGUUCGAAUCUCACUCCGGGCA
Molecule: transfer RNA, 83 nt
Filed under: Elusimicrobiota bacterium
Lineage: Bacteria; Pseudomonadati; Elusimicrobiota
Description: tRNA-Leu
Rfam family: tRNA
About the family: Transfer RNA (tRNA) molecules are approximately 80 nucleotides in length. Their secondary structure includes four short double-helical elements and three loops (D, anti-codon, and T loops).
Source: RNAcentral